RNAcentral lists this ribosomal RNA (114 nucleotides) under uncultured bacterium. RNAcentral describes it as "partial 16S ribosomal RNA". It matches the Rfam family "Bacterial small subunit ribosomal RNA", at positions 557 to 670 of the family's 1533-position model. The record is from RNAcentral.
GGCGUAAAGCGCAUGCAGGUGGGUGGACAAGUCUGAUGUGAAAGCCCCGGGCUCAACCUGGGAAGUGCAUUGGAAACUGUUCAUCUUGAGUGCUGUAGAGGGGGGUAGAAUUUC